This 1561-nucleotide ribosomal RNA is filed under the name Salmonella enterica subsp. enterica. RNAcentral's name for it is "partial 23S ribosomal RNA". It matches the Rfam family "Bacterial large subunit ribosomal RNA", at positions 1 to 1568 of the family's 2925-position model. Lineage: Bacteria; Pseudomonadati; Pseudomonadota; Gammaproteobacteria; Enterobacterales; Enterobacteriaceae. The record is from RNAcentral.
AGGUCAAGCUACAAAGGGCGCAUGGUGAAUGCCUUGGCAUCAGGAGCCGAUGAAGGACGUGAUAAGCUGCGAUAAGCUUCGGGUAGGCGCACAUAGCCUGAGAUCCGAAGAUCUCCGAAUGAGGAAACUCACAUGGGAAACCCCAUGUAUCAUUAAGUGAAUACAUAGCUUAAUGAAGGUAACCCAGGGAACUGAAACAUCUAAGUACCUGGAGGAAGAGAAAGAAAAAUCGAUUUUCUUAGUAGCGGCGAGCGAAAGGGAAAGAGCCCAAACCGGAAACUUGUUUCCGGGGUUGUGGACAUAGCAUCAAAGUGGAGGCUAUUGUAACUGAAGAGAACUGGAAAGUUCCACCGUAGAAGGUAAUAGUCCUGUAAGUGAAACGAGAAGACCACGAGUUAUGAUCCAGAGUACCACGAGACACGUGAAACCUUGUGGGAAGCAGGGAGGACCACCUCCCAAGGCUAAAUACUACCUGAUGACCGAUAGUGAAGCAGUACCGUGAGGGAAAGGUGAAAAGAACCCCGGGAGGGGAGUGAAAUAGAACCUGAAACCGUGUGCCUACAACCGCUCAGAGCCCCUUAUGAGGGUGAUGAGGUGCUUUUUGUAGAACGAGCCAACGAGUUACGGUAUGUAGCAAGGUUAAGUACUUAAGGUACGGAGCCGAAGGGAAACCGAGUCUGAAUAGGGCGACUAGUUGCAUGCCGUAGACCCGAAACCGGGUGACCUAUCCAUGGCCAGGUUGAAGCGAGGGUAAAACCUCGUGGAGGACCGAACCACGUUGCUGUUGAAAAAGCAUGGGAUGAGCUGUGGAUAGCGGAGAAAUUCCAAUCGAACCCGGAGAUAGCUGGUUCUCUCCGAAAUAGCUUUAGGGCUAGCGUCGAGUAUGAGUAGUGGAGGUAGAGCACUGAAUGGGCUAGGGGGCAUAGCGCUUACCGAACCUUAUCAAACUCCGAAUGCCACAUACUUUGAGCUCGGCAGUCAGACUACGAAUGAUAAGAUCCGUGGUCAAAAGGGAAACAGCCCAGAUCGUCAGCUAAGGUCCCAAAGUGUAAGUUAAGUGGGAAAGGAUGUGAGAUUUCUAAGACAACUAGGAUGUUGGCUUAGAAGCAGCCAUUCAUUAAAAGAGUGCGUAAUAGCUCACUAGUCGAGAGAUCUUGCGCCGAAAAUGUAACGGGGCUAAACUUACCACCGAAGCUACGGGCUUGAACUAAGUUCAAGCGGUAGGAGAGCGUCGUAACCGGGCUGAAGUCGUACCGUAAGGAGCGGUGGACUGGUUACGAGUGAGAAUGUUGGCAUCAGUAGCGAGAUGUGGGUGAGAAUCCCACAGGCCGAAAACCUAAGGUUUCCUCAGGAAGGUUCGUCCGCUGAGGGUUAGUCGGGACCUAAGCCGAGGCCGAAAGGCGUAGGUGAUGGACAACUGGUUGAUAUUCCAGUACCACUACCAUCGUUAUUAUCGAUGGCGUGACGCAGGAGGAUAGUGUGUGCUAGCUAUUGGAUGCUAGUCUAAGCGUUUAGGCAGUGAGAGUAGGCAAAUCCGCUCUCAUAAUGCUGAGGCGUGAUG